UCGGGAAUUUUGCGCAAUGGACGAAAGUCUGACGCAGCAACGCCGCGUGAGGGAUGACGGCCUUCGGGUUGUAAACCUCUUUUGUCAGGGACGAUGAUGACGGUACCUGACGAAUAAGCCACGGCUAACUACGUGCCAGCAGCCGCGGUAAUACGUAGGUGGCAAGCGUUGUCCGGAUUUACUGGGCGUAAAGAGCGCGCAGGCGGUCGAUUUAGUCGCGUGUGAAAGCCCCCGGCUCAACUGGGGAGGGUCACGCGAUACUGAUCGACUCGAAGGCAGGAGAGGGUAGUGGAAUUCCCGGUGUAGUGGUGAAAUGCGUAGAUAUCGGGAGGAACACCAGUGGCGAAGGCGACUACCUGGCCUGUUCUUGACGCUGAGGCGCGAAAGCUAGGGGAGCAAAUGGG
RNAcentral lists this ribosomal RNA (404 nucleotides) under Bacillota bacterium. RNAcentral describes it as "Firmicutes bacterium partial 16S ribosomal RNA". It matches the Rfam family "Bacterial small subunit ribosomal RNA", at positions 355 to 776 of the family's 1533-position model. The record is from RNAcentral. Lineage: Bacteria; Bacillati; Bacillota.